This 253-nucleotide ribosomal RNA is filed under the name uncultured bacterium. RNAcentral describes it as "partial 16S ribosomal RNA". It matches the Rfam family "Bacterial small subunit ribosomal RNA", at positions 524 to 776 of the family's 1533-position model. The record is from RNAcentral.
UACGUAGGUGGCAAGCGUUGUCCGGAUUUACUGGGCGUAAAGAGCGCGCAGGCGGUCGUUCAAGUCGCGUGUGAAAGCCCCCGGCUCAACUGGGGAGGGUCACGCGAUACUGAUCGACUCGAAGGCAGGAGAGGGAAGUGGAAUUCCCGGUGUAGUGGUGAAAUGCGUAGAGAUGUGGAGGAACACCAGUGGCGAAGGCGACUCUUUGGUCUGUAACUGACGCUGAGGCGCGAAAGCGUGGGGAGCAAACAGG